GAAAUGUUAUAUAUUUUUCAAAAUUAUUUUAUUAUUUUUGCAGGCUGUUCAGUGACGUCCAGCUCCAACACUCAGAGAAACUCCAGAUCAAGGUUCCCAGCAGACUAAAAGAGGCGCUGAGGACGGCGAAGGAGAGUCUGGAGAAGAGGCUGCAGGAGGAGCAGAGAGUGCUCCACCAGCACAGGAGGCUGACCAGAGCUCAGUCUCACCACGGCUCUGAGGAGGAGAGGAAGAGGAGGAAGAUUCUAGCGAGGAAG
Molecule: non-coding RNA, 257 nt
Organism: Plectropomus leopardus (leopard coralgrouper)
Lineage: Eukaryota; Metazoa; Chordata; Actinopteri; Perciformes; Serranidae
Source: RefSeq, a predicted model, not a curated record